This 680-nucleotide long non-coding RNA is filed under the name Marmota monax (woodchuck). The record is from RNAcentral. Lineage: Eukaryota; Metazoa; Chordata; Mammalia; Rodentia; Sciuridae.
CUCAUAUUCAAACUUUAAAUCCUGAAAUGUCCUUCCUCUAUCAGAUGACUUCUCUGCAUCUUCUAGGAUCUGUCUGGCAACACCUUCUGGUUCCUUUCUCUUUUGUGCUCCCAGUCACAUGUUCCCACAAAAAACACAGGGUCUUCUACACAUCAUCCAUAGGCACCUGAAACACAGCAGUGAGCAAACUCUAGUUCUAAUGAUCAAGAAUGUUUCUAGACAUUACCAAGCCCAGUGGGAUUAAUCAGCCCAACAGAAAUCCUGCUUUGGAGUGAUGUGGGAGAGGAGGCCCUCUGGCUCUCCUGACAAGAAAUCACAGGGCACAUGAUGGCGGGGACACCCUGUUCAAGGUCAACCUUAAAACUGGGUUUUGGUAGAGCAGGCUCUGGGGAGGAGACUGGUGGCAGACCUCACAUCUACAGGAUGCCCACCACGAGUGUUUUCAGUUUGUCUUUCAACAUGGCCCAUGCAUGAGCAAAGGUGCACAGCUGGCUUCUACCUCUUUUCCCAGCCUCUCUUGCAGUUAGGAGUGGCAUCAUAGCUAGUUCUCGUCAAGGAUAUUUAAGGAGAAAUCUGGAGGGUUCUUGGAAAGAUCUCCCUUUUCCAAUCAAAAGGGUCACAUACAGUGGACACUGUCCACCCUGUUUCCCCUUCCUACUUGAGUGUGGAUGUGAGCACUG